GCGGAGAAAUUCCAAUCGAACUCGGAGAUAGCUGGUUCUCCUCGAAAUAGCUUUAGGGCUAGCGUCGUGUAAUUGAGUAAUGGAGGUAGAGCACUGAAUGGGCUAGGGGCUAUAGUAGUUACCGAACCCUAUCAAACUCCGAAUGCCAUAUACUUGUAUCACGGCAGUCAGACUGCGAAUGAUAAGAUCCGUAGUCAAAAGGGAAACAGCCCAGACCAUCAGCUAAGGU
Molecule: ribosomal RNA, 229 nt
Filed under: Acinetobacter baumannii
Lineage: Bacteria; Pseudomonadati; Pseudomonadota; Gammaproteobacteria; Moraxellales; Moraxellaceae
Description: partial 23S ribosomal RNA
Rfam family: Bacterial large subunit ribosomal RNA
Source: RNAcentral